GGCGCAGUCACGAAAGGGCCAGAUAGGGCUGUUUUGCAGCGGUGGCCCAAAACAUGCAGAAAGGCUGCAAGGGCCGAAUUUUUUUCCAAAUCGUUCCUUCUACACACUGUCGAGGAGGGCAGCGGGAAGGGACGAGUCGACGCCGGUGUGCGGUGGCGGCGGUCGCGCGGUAACGUUUCCCUUCAGCUUCGAUCAUGUUGGUGGCGGCGCCGGCCACAAAAGGCUCACCCACCAAGGAUUUGACGGCUGUCGAGCCCGGGGACGAGGUGGCGCAGUCGGUGUUCGACGCAGGGGGAGCUAUGGGUUCGGUCUCGGUUUGUCAGGCGAAUGGCAACCACCAGCCGCCGCCGCCGCAGGCAGAAGCGGAGCAGGUCGUCGAGGAUGGCGUUGCCGUCGACAGGAUCAAUGGCAACUACCAGCCGCUGGAGCUGGUGGCUGAGGCGGGGCAGGUCGUCGAGGAGGGCGAUGCCGGCGUGACCAUGGAAGGCGUCGCUUCCAUCGCCUUGCUGCCUACCGGUGCCAUCUCCGGCCAUUUCAUUCGCCUCCCUGACUCCAUCUGCUACGGGCUACACGGCACCCCAAUAUCUUGCGAGAGGGAAUGUAGCCGAGGAGAGGACUACCGCCUUAUAAAGCUCACCAUCAUUGAUUUUAAGAGCAAGAGAGAGAAGGUGCUUGUGGUGGAAUGCAGGGGCCAUGAUGCUGCUCGAUUACAAAACAUUGACCAUUUGCAUGGGUGGGAAGAUGACAUUGUUGGUUUGGUUGAGAAGGAGCACGGAAAUCAGAAAGUCUUGCUCUCCUUUGAAUGCGAGACGCUGAAGGCUGAUAAAGACGCGGAAGAUCAUAUUGCCAAAUAUAUGCCAAAUCUGUGUGGACUGGACGCAGUUGGUAACGGCAACGUCAAUGGUAUCUAAAAUCGGUGCUUACUGUUACAGUGCAAAAGAUACCGCCAUUUGUUUGAUUGGGUGUGCUAAUUAUUUUCACUCCCUUAAAUCGCCUCCACCCGGCAAAGGGAUCGGAUAGAGUAAAUAUAGGGAAAAUGAGCAUCUCAGGCAUCAAUCUCGACGAGGACGCCGAACCAAGAGGGGACAACUGAGCGUGUGAACAGUGGUCAUUGUUCAUCAGCACUGGUAAACUCUGCACGAAUCACAUCAAACGCUUACACUGCACUACAUAUGGCAGUUUGAUACGUGUCUCAUUACCAGUGCCUGUACUUAAAAUUCUGUGGCUGUGAAUCGGAUUCAAAACCCUUUAUACGUUUCAACUUUCAAGUUACCACGUCGCUUCUUGCACGAAUCCCAAGGGUCGGUUGCUCCUGCUGGGUGCAUUUCUUGUCUGUGGCGGUACUGUUUGUCACGCUUUGUACGUAUGACUAGCAUUGCUUGUCUGUUUAUGAGAGUGGUGCUGUGUUUCGUC
RNA transcript from Zea mays, 1413 nucleotides. RefSeq lists it as uncharacterized. The transcript has 7 exons. The record is from RefSeq and is marked validated. NCBI's taxonomy places the organism in Eukaryota, Viridiplantae, Streptophyta, Magnoliopsida, Poales, Poaceae.